AGUCUCCAUGGCUACAAGGAUCAUCAACAUGUGAUGGGCAGAACCACAGAAUCCAAGGGAAGCUACACCAGUGAACCAUCAGCUCUUCUCCACUCCCAUGGUCCCGUCACAGAACACAGUCGGGAAGAAUUGGGAGUCUAGGGUGACUUCCAAAAUCCCCAGGCAGGAGGAAGUCCCUGGAACGAUCUAUUUGGUGUGGUCCCCUCUUUUGCUGAUGCAGAUGAAAUACAGAG
Molecule: long non-coding RNA, 233 nt
Organism: Tachyglossus aculeatus (Australian echidna)
Lineage: Eukaryota; Metazoa; Chordata; Mammalia; Monotremata; Tachyglossidae
Exons: 3
Source: RefSeq, a predicted model, not a curated record